Molecule: ribosomal RNA, 137 nt
Filed under: uncultured eukaryote
Lineage: Eukaryota
Description: partial 18S ribosomal RNA
Rfam family: Eukaryotic small subunit ribosomal RNA
Source: RNAcentral
UGGUGGAGUGAUUUGUCUGGUUAAUUCCGUUAACGAACGAGACCUCGACCUGCUAAAUAGUACUGUUGAUCUUAGAUCGACUGAACUUCUUAGAGGGACUCUCGGUGUGUAGCCGAUGGAAGUUCGAGGCAAUAACA